CAGCCGCCCUCCUCCUCUGCUCCAACGCCUGAAGAGUCUGCCCACUCCGCGACGCCGCUCAGUCCGCCAUCGCCGUCUGCCCAAUCCUCCGUCACCGUCUCCCACUCCUCCACUCCCAGACGGUUAAGUUCCAGGAAGGUCGCUGUCGCCGUCUCUCCUUCUCCACUGCUCGAACGCCUCGAAGCUCCAGUCCGGGUCUCCCUCGCUGUCUCCGUCUCCCACUCCAGGUAGACAUUUAUACUGGUUCUUCAUUACAGAAUGCUAAUUUAACUUAAAACAAAAUGGACAAAUAAUUAGAGCUCAGAUCCGCAAUUUCUCUACUCUGUGUUUUUGUUCUUCCUGUGUCGGAUAGAAACGAAACCAGAUUGUUGUUAAAAGAAUUGGCGAUCGAGGAAAAGCCUCGUGUCCCCAGGUAUUUCCCACUCUCUGUUGCUACCCUUACCUGCAUUUAUCUUUGGGUUUCAUAUGCAUUUUCUUGUGGAGCAUAUUGUUUCAAGAAUUUUUGAAUUGGUGCUAAUUCUUGUAUGAAAGUUAAGAAAGAAGAGAGCUUUAGAGGUUAAGGUUUUAAAUUGGAUAAAACCCAGCGAGGAAAUCGACAAAAUUUUAGGUUUAGAAGUAGUGGAUAACAGAGGCAUUAGCUCAAAGUUUUUAACUUUAUUGAUAUUUUGAAGAAGAAGAUUUUGCCUUAUAAAAGGAGAACUUUGAGCCAAUCAGGCAAACAUAAGCGGUUUAACUUUAAAGAGGUGAUUUUGUGGCAUAAAGUUCAUAUACUUUCCUCCAAUAUCAAUGAUCCUUUUUCAAGAGUGACAGAGUGACUGGAAACUUUGGUUUGUAUGGAAAAUGGCAAUCUUCAGCAAGCACAGGGAAAAUUAAUUUGUUUUUUGGCACUUUUGCCCAUAAUGACAGUCACAAUUGUUACCCGAGCUUGCAAAUUGCAGUGCCAAGUAUAUUUCACAUGUUGAUAUGAGCCUUUAAUCACAAUGAUCAAAACAUAUAACUUUUGGAAGAAAUUGAUAAUUUUUAUUUUUUAUUUUUAAAAAGCAUUCAUGUUUAGUAUGUGAAAACAUUGAGCUAGAUAUGCAACUACAUCUAGUAUAGCAAGUUAUAUCAAACUUAGUGCUUGCCAAGUAAUUUACUUUCCUUGAAUUCCUAAUGGAUAGCAUCACUACGUACACCUUGAAUUUACUUUCUUUUUUAUAAUGGUAUCUAUGGAUUAAAGGCUCAGAAAAAAAUAGUAUAUGAUACUUUGUUGUUUAUAAUGUUGAAAUUUCUAGGAAUCAUUGUGUAAUACUGUAAUCAUUAAAAUAUAAAAAAUGUACUUUGCUUUGGCCACUGCUAAUAUUGCUUAUGAUUCUUUUGGUUCUUCAGGUGCAUGUGUUAUCCCUUAUAAUUGAAUAUAACAUCUUCCACUAGUCCUUGCUAACAGGUUUCUCAGAUCCCUUAAAUGGUGUUUGUGGAGAGAUUUCUGAGCAAGAUUAUGUCUUGCUAUACAAGGGGGCAGGUACAAACAUUCUGAUUUCUGAGUAAGAAAAUUACAUUAUCCAUGCUUACACUCUUGCGAUAUUUGAUUCUGCUUGUAUGAUCUUACCUUCACCCUUGCAGUUCUCCUUUAAUGACUUAUUUGAUUUUUUUAUGCACAAAAUUAGGAAUCAUUUGCCAUUUAUUUCCAUGAUCAGAAGAGAAUAUUUCAUGAUAGCUUUUACCUUGUCUAUUCCCAGACUAUAUGACACUAUAUAAUAUGAUUACAAAUCCAAGUCUACUGAGUAUUGUGAAAAAAAGCCAAAUGGAAAUGGUGUCCUGGGGUUUUUCAUUAUUCUUUAUUUUGUAAAAUGAAAUGCAUGCUUUAACUUGUUAAUUUCCUGGCAGAAGGUUCUGAUUCAACAGCUAAACUUGUUCAUAACAAUGAACUGAUUAGAGAGUUUAUAGUCUUUCAUGGUGUUUUCCUCCAAAACCAGAGUCACCACAAGCAAGGUUAUUGUUUGACACCAGUUUUUCUAAGAGCAACAACAGACAGCAUAAAUGACAACAAGAAAAACAUAUAUAAUAUGUUACAUUUCUCACCAAUCAUGUCUUCGUACAGACAGCAUAAAUUACAGCUAGAAUUUACUUGUGUUAUUAGACUUGAAUUGAAUAUUAUUACUUACUAAAUGUUGAUUGAUAAUGUAUUAUUACUUGAACUUAAUGUGGAAAUUAUAAUGUUUUAUAA
Ipomoea triloba (trilobed morning glory) is the source of this 2206-nucleotide long non-coding RNA. RefSeq lists it as uncharacterized. Lineage: Eukaryota; Viridiplantae; Streptophyta; Magnoliopsida; Solanales; Convolvulaceae. The transcript has 2 exons. The record is from RefSeq and is a predicted model, not a curated record.